GUGAACGCUGGCGGUAGGCCUAACACAUGCAAGUCGAACGGCAGCACAGUAAGAGCUUGCUCUUACGGGUGGCGAGUGGCGGACGGGUGAGGAAUACAUCGGAAUCUACUUUUUCGUGGGGGAUAACGUAGGGAAACUUACGCUAAUACCGCAUACGACCUACGGGUGAAAGCAGGGGAUCUUCGGACCUUGCGCGAUUGAAUGAGCCGAUGUCGGAUUAGCUAGUUGGCGGGGUAAAGGCCCACCAAGGCGACGAUCCGUAGCUGGUCUGAGAGGAUGAUCAGCCACACUGGAACUGAGACACGGCCCAGACUCCUACGGGAGGCAGCAGUGGGGAAUAUUGGACAAUGGGGGCAAGCCUGAUCCAGCCAUACCGCGUGGGUGAAGAAGGCCUUCGGGUUGUAAAGCCCUUUUGUUGGGAAAGAAAAGCAGCAGGUUAAUACCCCGCUGUUCUGACGGUACCCAAAGAAUAAGCACCGGCUAACUUCGUG
RNAcentral lists this ribosomal RNA (491 nucleotides) under uncultured bacterium. RNAcentral describes it as "partial 16S ribosomal RNA". It matches the Rfam family "Bacterial small subunit ribosomal RNA", at positions 29 to 507 of the family's 1533-position model. The record is from RNAcentral.